This 378-nucleotide ribosomal RNA is filed under the name Diclidophlebia xuani. RNAcentral's name for it is "partial small subunit ribosomal RNA". The record is from RNAcentral. Lineage: Eukaryota; Metazoa; Arthropoda; Insecta; Hemiptera; Liviidae.
CAAGGUGCAGUUUUUAAAAGAUUAAUAUGGGUUACAAUAAAAAUAUGAAUGAAUUUUAGUUAUUUUAUAUUAAUGAAAAAGGAUUUAUUAGUAAAUUUUUUAUAGAAACAAUAUGAAUAUUGUUUCUAAAAUAUGUACACAUUGCCCGUCACUCUUAUUUAAAAUAAGAUAAGUCGUAACAUAGUAGGUGUACCGGAAGGUGUAUCUGGAAUUAAGAAUAAAUAGCUUAAUUUAAAGUUUAUUAGUUACAUAAGUAGGAUAUCUUUAUUAGAUUUUAUUUUUAUCUAUUUUACAAUAAUAGGUUAAUAUUAUUUUUUGUUAAUUUUCUGUGGAGGGGAGUCCAUAUUAAAUUAAUUAAAAGAUUUAUAUUAUACCUUU